This 484-nucleotide ribosomal RNA is filed under the name uncultured bacterium. Its description in RNAcentral is "partial 16S ribosomal RNA". It matches the Rfam family "Bacterial small subunit ribosomal RNA", at positions 28 to 523 of the family's 1533-position model. The record is from RNAcentral.
GACGAACGCUGGCGGCGUGCUUAACACAUGCAAGUCGAACGAUGAAGCCGGAGCUUGCUCUGGUGAAUUAGUGGCGAACGGGUGAGUAACACGUGAGUAACCUGCCCUUGACUCUGGGAUAACUGCUAGAAAUGGUAGCUAAUACCGGAUACGACCCUCGGCGGCAUCGCCAGGGGGUGGAAAGAAUUUCGGUCAAGGAUGGACUCGCGGCCUAUCAGCUAGUUGGUGAGGUAACGGCUCACCAAGGCGACGACGGGUAGCCGGCCUGAGAGGGUGACCGGCGACACUGGGACUGAGACACGGCCCAGACUCCUACGGGAGGCAGGAGUGGGGAAUAUUGCCCAAUGGGCGCAAGCCUGAUGCAGCAACGCCGCGGGAGGGAUGACGGCCUUCGGGUUGUAAACCUCUUUUAGUAGGGAAGAAGCGAAAGUGACGGUACCUGCAGAAAAAGCACCGGCUAACUACGUGCCAGCCGCCGCCGUAA